ACACCAAAACACAGCUGAAACUUGUAAAGAGAGCUAGAAACAAGGAAGAGAAAAAAGCAGGGGCUAUUAAUAGAAGCCGCGCAGUGAGAAUGUGGUUCACUCGGACCUGGUCUACAGACAAACACAGCAGCCUCACCACUGAAGAAGAAACCAUGGGCCACACAGAUGCCAAGCUACCCUGCAGAUUUCCCCAGCCUCUGCUCCACAGGCGAAGCAAUCUCUGAGCCAGGGAACCCAGCUCCAGAAAUAUGUUUCCAUGGGAUGUCUGCUGAUAAAGGGGUUUGAUUUCAACUGUCCUUAAAGG
Molecule: long non-coding RNA, 304 nt
Organism: Myotis myotis
Lineage: Eukaryota; Metazoa; Chordata; Mammalia; Chiroptera; Vespertilionidae
Exons: 2
Source: RefSeq, a predicted model, not a curated record